AUCUCGUGGUGCGGGCAUGCAAGGAUGUACUCCUGAAGUCCCUCCUAGGCUUCAGGAAUUGACUCAUUUGAUGCCUGCUAAAAGUUCGAAAUCCUUCCAUGAAGAG
Panicum virgatum (switchgrass) is the source of this 106-nucleotide small nucleolar RNA. Lineage: Eukaryota; Viridiplantae; Streptophyta; Magnoliopsida; Poales; Poaceae. The record is from RefSeq and is a predicted model, not a curated record.